This 254-nucleotide ribosomal RNA is filed under the name uncultured bacterium. RNAcentral describes it as "partial 16S ribosomal RNA". It matches the Rfam family "Bacterial small subunit ribosomal RNA", at positions 524 to 776 of the family's 1533-position model. The record is from RNAcentral.
UACGGGGGGAGCAAGCGUUGUUCGGAUUUACUGGGCGUAAAGGGCGCGUAGGCGGUCAGCACAAGUCAGUUGUGAAAUCUCCGAGCUUAACUCGGAAAGGUCAACUGAUACUGUGCGACUAGAGUGCGGAAGGGGCAACUGGAAUUCUUGGUGUAGCGGUGAAAUGCGUAGAUAUCAGGAGGAACACCGGUGGCGAAGGCGGGUCUCUGGGCCGAUACUGACGCUGAGGAGCGAAAGCGUGGGGAGCGAACAGG